This 28-nucleotide small RNA is filed under the name Bombyx mori (domestic silkworm). RNAcentral describes it as "ovarian small RNA-8431". Lineage: Eukaryota; Metazoa; Arthropoda; Insecta; Lepidoptera; Bombycidae. The record is from RNAcentral.
UGAUUUAGAAAUGUGUUAGCGUCCUGGA